RNAcentral lists this ribosomal RNA (338 nucleotides) under Flemingia macrophylla. Its description in RNAcentral is "eukaryotic LSU rRNA". It matches the Rfam family "Eukaryotic large subunit ribosomal RNA", at positions 1 to 339 of the family's 3401-position model. Lineage: Eukaryota; Viridiplantae; Streptophyta; Magnoliopsida; Fabales; Fabaceae. The record is from RNAcentral.
AGACCUCAGGUCAGGCGGGGCUACCCGCUGAGUUUAAGCAUAUCAAUAAGCGGAGGAAAAGAAACUAACAAGGAUUCCCUUAGUAACGGCGAGCGAACCGGGAAUAGCCCACCAUGAAAAUCGGUCGCCUCUGGCGUCUGAAUUGUAGUCUGGAGAAGCGUCCUCAGUGGCGGACCGGGCCCAAGUCCCCCUGGAAAGGGGCGCCAGAGAGGGUGAGAGCCCCGUCGUGCUCGGACCCUGUCGCACCACGAGGCGCUGUCGCGAGUCGGUUGUUUGGGAAUGCAGCCCCAUCGGGCGGUAAAUUCCGUCCAGGCUAAAUACUGGCGAGAAGACCGAUA